Molecule: ribosomal RNA, 489 nt
Filed under: Triticum aestivum (bread wheat)
Lineage: Eukaryota; Viridiplantae; Streptophyta; Magnoliopsida; Poales; Poaceae
Description: partial small subunit ribosomal RNA
Source: RNAcentral
AUGCAAUGGUUUCAAAAGAGGCGUGAGAAGGUGGGCGAGAAUAGCUUUGAGGCUUUGGUCAUUGAGGAUUUUGAUUGGGGCAAUGAGUGGGUGGACCCAUCACUAUCACAACCUCAAGGUGCUCGAGGUUGUCCUGAUGACAAUCAAGACAUUACAUGGGAGGAUGUUGAUGUGGCUAUUGGUGCAUCUUCAAACCUUCGAGGCCGCAAUCUGCAUAGGACAGCAACUACAGUUCGUAGGGGCCAGACAAUGCAACACUACGCAUGCAAGAGACCUACUACAACACGACCUACAGUUCCUGAAGAAGAUGAGGCAGAGGAGGGCUUGGAGCAAGAACAACACUCAAGUAUGCCCAAUGCGGAGGGGGAGGAUUCAGACUACGUUGAGGAUGAUGAUGAUGUGAGCAAUGACGAUCAAGAGCCAACUCAUGUUGACCAAGAUGGUGAAGACAACACCAAUGCCAAUGAGUUUGAUGAUGAUGACUUUUGA